This 200-nucleotide ribosomal RNA is filed under the name uncultured bacterium. RNAcentral describes it as "partial 16S ribosomal RNA". It matches the Rfam family "Bacterial small subunit ribosomal RNA", at positions 30 to 229 of the family's 1533-position model. The record is from RNAcentral.
AUUGAACGCUAGCGGGAUGCUUUACACAUGCAAGUCGAACGGCAGCACGGACUUCGGUCUGGUGGCGAGUGGCGAACGGGUGAGUAAUGUAUCGGAACGUGCCUAGUAGCGGGGGAUAACUACGCGAAAGCGUGGCUAAUACCGCAUACGCCCUACGGGGGAAAGGGGGGGAGUCGCAAGACCUCUCACUAUUAGAGCGG